CCACGUUCUCUCCCAGCAACUAUUUCUCUAUCUCUGUCUAACACGGUUUUCUCACAAUAACAGUUUUAUCUCUCACACGCACAGCACGACACGACACGGUUCUCUCAGAAUAUAUCUGAAGCAACGAUAACAACUUCUCUCCAUCUAUUUAUGCAUAAGGAUGCGAUUGUUUUCGAUUAUUGAAGCGGGUAGAAGAUAUCAAGAGAAGAAGAGCGCGAGACCAGAUAUGAGAGCGACAACAUGAACGAUAUAUCUGGUGAUGAUCAAGAUGCCAAACCGUCAAGGGAUAAGAGAUCUACCAGUCAUGGAUAAGGCACAUUGCGAUUCGAAGUCCCGUCGUCUUUGUAUUCCCGUAGCACAGCCUCCUCAUCUCUCCAAUUUUGAGAUCGCGAAAAUGUGUGGCCACAUUUGCAAAAGAAACCCAUUUCUUAAAGUUGAUAGUUGUUAUUCGUAUCAUCAAAAUAUGAUUGCGUGUAUUUCUUCUGGUAUGUUAUUCUAGAUUUGGAUGUAUAACUAUAGUUAACAAAGGUGGAGCAAGAUAAGGAGGCAAGAGCGAUUGGGGCAGAGGUCGAUGCAGCAGUGAAGUGGAAUGUUUGGAGAUACACACAAGGUAGAAAAGCCUAAACUGUGAACUAUGAUUAAUCUCUAAUUUUAGUCGUCUAGCUGUUUAAUUUUGGCUUAGUGCACAUUUAUCUGAAAGUAAAAGAUCUAGAUGUGAAUAGUGUUUUGUAAGAUUAAGAGAAACACAUAACUGAAGAAGCUCAUGAAUCAUUUCUAUGACCCUCAAUUAGUUGAUUUGAACUCAAACAAUUGUUUCAAUGGAUUUAAUUGUACCUUGCAAUUUAUAAGUGAAGUUCUUGCAUGAACAUGAGGGAAUAUUUCUAUGUCUGUCCUUUUGAUUUUUUUGUUUCUUUAAAAUGUUCAUUGUAUGAUAAAGGAAAACAUAUAUUAGAAAGUGUUGUAUGUAGGCACAUUAUUUAAGUAGUUAAACUGUUGUGUUGUGCAAUUUUGUAUCAAGCAAUAUCUUCAAGUUGCGAAAGAAUUUACUUUAGUGCAUAUCCUACAAGAAAAUGAAUAUUAGGUGUUGUCGAGGAGGGGAAAUUAUUAUUAAUUUGUAAGCAGUCUAUUUGAAAAUAAUAAACAAUCGUAUAGCUUGAAGAGGCAUAGGCUCUAAGCUUUCGAGUUUAUUACGAUCAAUCUAGCUGAAUUUGGUUUACUGAUAGAGAAAUUAAGGAAAGUUUGGUAAUCAGAGGAGGUUCGAUCGAGCAUGGGCCUUAACAUGUGGGUGGCGCCACUAGGAUGAUGAUGGAUAGGGAGAGGUGGUGGUGGAGGAUGAAUUUGCCGAGCUCCACCAGCUGGCCCAUUCUUGGAGAUGGGUAGAGGACUAUCAUCUUCAACUUCACUUAAUUCAUCUCAUGCAUGCUACUAAUCAAGAUCACUACUGCUCAAUGUUUGAAGACAAUAAUGACCACAAUUUCACCUACCUUGGCAUAUAAAAAUAUACCAGAAAUAUGUUAGUUAGCUUCUUCAUAGCAGACUCAGUUAGAGUAGCAAACCAUUUUAAUGAGGUGGCAAGAUUAGUUAAAAGAUAUUUUAACUUAAAUGUAGAUGCAGUAUUGUAGCUCUAUAAAUAGAGCAUUAUCAAGAUGAAUAAAGUAAUCUCAUUUUCAUUCUUUA
Long non-coding RNA from Salvia miltiorrhiza (redroot sage), 1677 nucleotides. RefSeq lists it as uncharacterized. The record is from RefSeq and is a predicted model, not a curated record. The transcript has 2 exons. Lineage: Eukaryota; Viridiplantae; Streptophyta; Magnoliopsida; Lamiales; Lamiaceae.